This 497-nucleotide ribosomal RNA is filed under the name uncultured bacterium. RNAcentral's name for it is "partial 16S ribosomal RNA". It matches the Rfam family "Bacterial small subunit ribosomal RNA", at positions 28 to 507 of the family's 1533-position model. The record is from RNAcentral.
GAUGAACGCUGGCGGCGUGCCUAAUACAUGCAAGUCGAGCGAACAGACGAGGAGCUUGCUCCUCUGACGUUAGCGGCGGACGGGUGAGUAACACGUGGAUAACCUACCUAUAAGACUGGUAUAACUUCGGGAAACCGGAGCUAAUACCGUAUAAUAUAUUGAACCGCAUGGUUCAAUAGUGAAAGACGGUUUUGCUGUCACUUAUAGAUGGAUCCGCGCCGCAUUAGCUAGUUGGUAAGGUAACGGCUUACCAAGGCAACGAUGCGUAGCCGACCUGAGAGGGUGAUCGGCCACACUGGAACUGAGACACGGUCCAGACUCCUACGGGAGGCAGCAGUAGGGAAUCUUCCGCAAUGGGCGAAAGCAUGACGGAGCAACGCCGCGUGAGUGAUGAAGGUCUUCGGAUCGUAAAACUCUGUUAUUAGGGAAGAACAAAUGUGUAAGUAACUAUGCACGUAUUGACGGUACCUAAUCAGAAAGCCACGGCUAACUACGUG